GUUCGGACUGCAGCCUGCAACCCGGCUGCACGAAGCCGGAAUCGCUAGUAAUCGCGGAUCAGAAUGCCGCGGUGAAUACGUUCCCGGGUCUUGUACACACCGCCCGUCACACCAUGGGAGCCGGAGAUGCCCGAAGUCAGUGGCCCAACCGCAAGGAGGGAGCUGCCGAAGGCAGUGCUGGUGACUGGGGUGAAGUCGUAACAAGGUAUC
RNAcentral lists this ribosomal RNA (210 nucleotides) under uncultured bacterium. RNAcentral describes it as "partial 16S ribosomal RNA". It matches the Rfam family "Bacterial small subunit ribosomal RNA", at positions 1291 to 1500 of the family's 1533-position model. The record is from RNAcentral.